Molecule: transfer RNA, 71 nt
Filed under: Rattus norvegicus (Norway rat)
Lineage: Eukaryota; Metazoa; Chordata; Mammalia; Rodentia; Muridae
Rfam family: tRNA
About the family: Transfer RNA (tRNA) molecules are approximately 80 nucleotides in length. Their secondary structure includes four short double-helical elements and three loops (D, anti-codon, and T loops).
Source: Rfam by way of RNAcentral
GGGGACUUAGCUCAGUGGUAGAGCGCUUGCCUAGGAAGCGCAAGGCCCUGGGUUCGGUCCCCAGCUCCCCA